RNAcentral lists this transfer RNA (77 nucleotides) under Heyndrickxia sporothermodurans. Its description in RNAcentral is "tRNA-Pro". It matches the Rfam family "tRNA". Rfam says of the family: Transfer RNA (tRNA) molecules are approximately 80 nucleotides in length. Lineage: Bacteria; Bacillati; Bacillota; Bacilli; Caryophanales; Bacillaceae. The record is from RNAcentral.
CGGGAAGUAGCUCAGCUUGGUAGAGCACAUGGUUUGGGACCAUGGGGGUUCAGGUUCGAAUCCUGUCUUCUCAACCA